CUCUGGGCGAAGAAAAGCAGGAGAUUUUGUGAGUGGUCAGGCUGGGGACAGUGACACUGGAGAUGCACGUUCAUGAGAAUUCUCCAUUUUUUUCUUUCAGCCUUUGAAUGAAUACAACGUCGCCCGGUUGGAAUAUUAUCGCUAUUUUACGAGAAAAAUAGGCAGGGUCGUAUAGUGACCUGAACACACGAACAAAACAGAGCUAUUUGAAUAUAACUAUGGAUUAUUUGGAACCAAAACAACAUUUGUUGUUGAAGUAGAAGUCCUGGGAGUGCAUUCUGAUGAAGAACAGCAAAGAUGAACAUGAUACCUUCAGGCCAUUGGAAAUUGCUCCCAAGGAUCAACCAGACUUGUGGAGGUCUACAAUUUUUUUUCUGAGGUCUUGGCUGAUUUCUUUUGAUUUUCCCAUGAUGUCAAGCAAAGAGGCACUGAGUUUGAAGGAACAACAUACAUUUGUGCAUGAGGCAGAUGCGGUGCGACUCCAGUUUCGCCAUCAAAUGGAAGAUGGUGUCCACUCACUCUGGUCAGUCUCACAGGAGGAAAGGAAGGAGAGAGCAGGGACCGAGAGGCGGCUGGGAAAAAUCGUUAUGUUUCACUAUAUUGGAUCACUCCAAAAUAUUGGUAUCACUCCGCGGCGGAGGGAUACACCCGAGGUUAUGGUGAAGGUGACUACGGAUGGUGUCUUAAUGCAUGGCAGGGAUAAUUCGGCCGAGAACGGUGUGAACCUAAAAACCCCUCUGACCAGCUGAAGAAGAAAAUGGCGUUCAGUAUGGUCCUGCACCUCUUCUACAGACAGACCUGAGUCAGUAACCUGUACAAAGCAUCCAAUCAAAGCUAUCAACUUCUUUUUCUCUCAUGCCUUUUCUCUCAGGAGUGUGACAGGAGUCCAUGUGGAGUGAGCAUGGAGAAAGAUCUGUUCCAAGCUUCUCUCAUGUUGGUGGUAUACUGGUUGACAAAUGGACAAGACAUAAUGGGUGGUAUAGAUGGUGGCGGCUCAGGUGAGACAUUGAAAUUGGGACAUUAUCAUGGGCCAUCCACUUUGGACUGUAAAUCUACCUGAAGAAGAAAAUGAAGAGACGCCAGAAGAUUGAGUGCCGGGGAAGGAAGGAGUUGGUCAACUGUUGCCAUAAUUGAUUUAGACUUGUCUAAAAUUGUUAUUUGGGGUAUCAGGUUGAUUGAGGUCUAAACACUGCUAAAUGUAUAGUAAAGAAUGCAUUGAGAUACUGAUCUGUAAUUAUACAUCGUAAUGAAAAAGAUGUUAGAAUAAGAUGAAUUAUACUGUAUGUUAAUAUAAAUGUACAUUCUGCCAGUGUCGUUGUGUGCUAAGUUGAGGGUUUUAACUUUGAGUGAUAGGACCAAUGUGAAUCACUGAGCAUUUUCAUUCUAAAUUUGGGAUGGAUAGUUUUGAUUAUGAUAUGGAAACUGAAUCAUUUUUAAAACUUACUGAUUUGAGUAAGUUUUAGUAUAUUGAUAACUAUAUGAGUGGAGCAAUUCAUGUAUUAUGGAUUGAUUGUUUUGUUGUUAUGCUAACAUGGGUAAAGAAGGUGUGUACUAAAGAUGUUGACACUAUUCUCAGCAUGCCCUGGUGAAUGGAGAGGGUGAACUCUGAUCCUGAGAGUGAAACUAAGCCUAAUCUAUUUGACCUAUAUCCAUUACCAAAUUACAUUUUUGAUGAUAAUACUCAGGAACUAUGGCAGGUUUAUGCUAAUGGUCAUAUAGUCCAUAGUUGUUGCGUUAUAAAUAGUGGAAUCAUAAUACUUGUCCUGGGUCUUGUUCAUUAGGCACCAAACUGAAUAAAUGUUACUUAAACCAGGAGUCACUACCUGGAUUUGUCCAACAAGAUUAGUUUCUACAGAUGGUACUAUAGGAAUGGAAAUAGUUGUUUCCACCAUGCUGAUCCAUUGGAGUGUGCUAGAUAACUAAAGCUUAUUUUAUUAAACUCCAUUGUUGCAUGCAUUGCAUUAUGGAUUAAAUAUUUGCUUGUCACUGUCUAUGAAGAUAUAACCUUGAAUCAUAUAAACUGUAUGUAUCUUUUGUUUUUCUUCAUGGGUUCGUGCAGGUGACUGUGUAUCAUGACCUCACCAAAGAAAUCGGUAGAACGCUCAGAAUAUGUGUUGGAGGGGAAGUCGGGAGACAGUGCUCAGUUUCUUCGGAGGAAGCUGAGCCCGUGCUAUAGCAACCGGUCACAUGCGGAACCCAUGCAAUUCAUUAUUGCUUUAAUGUUUCUUGUUCUAUGAAGAAUUUAUGCACUAGGUUAAGGUUAUAAGCUCAGUGACCCAAUGGAUGGUAAUAGACUAGUGCAAGGGGGAAAAAUGAUCCUAUAUGUUUGUUAGUUCUUUGUUUCAUUUUUAUUAAUGUAUUUUUUAAAGUUGUAAAUCUUUAAAGUUGAGAUUGAGUCUCAAAAUGGGGGAAUGUGGUAGAAUUACAACAUAUUAAUCACAAUACUUUCAUAUUAGUAUAUUAAUAUUAGUACAUUCACUCUGUUUUUCUGAGAACACUCAUGUGUCUGUGAGAGAAGCCUCUGAGGCUUAAUGCUGACAGUUGAUUUACAAUGGCUUGGUGAUAAGACAAUAUUCCAUAGAAUGAGUUGGUGUUUGUGUACUGAGGUACCAGGGAGGAGAUGGCUCGGGUAUGGAUGAGAGGACCCUCGUCUUGGGGGCCAAGCCCUGGUUUCCUUACAAUGAGAACAGUCUACACAGCAGAUACUGUCUGCUGUGAAUUAUUAAUUUCUUUCAUACAAAUCCUAAUCUUUUGACCCAUUCUACUCAGGUUCUCAGUCUCUCCUUUGAUUAGAAUAAUUACCACGACAAGCCUUAUUCUAAAAUUGAUUAAAUCAUUUUUUCCCUAUCAAUCUACACACAAUACCCCAUAAUGACAAAGCAAAAAUAGGUUUACACUUUAACUAAUUUAUUCAAAAUAAAAACAUUGAAUAUCAUAUUUACAUAAGUAUUCAGACCCGUUACUCUACUUUAUUGAAGAACCUUUGGCAGCGAUUACAGCCUGGAGUCUUCUUGGCUAUGACGCUACAAGCUUGGCACACCUGCAUUUGAGGAGUGUCUCCCAUUCUUGUCUGCAGAUCCUCUCAAGCUCUAUCAGAUUGGAUGGGGAGUGUUGCUGCACAGCUAUUUCUAGGUCUCUCCAAAGAUGUUCGAUCGGGUUCAAGUCCAGGCUCAAGGAGUUCAGAGACUUUUCCCAAAGCCACUCCUGCGUCGUCUUGACUGUGUGCUUAGGGUCGUUGUCCUGUUGGAAGGUGGACCUUCGCCUUAGUCUGAGGUCCUGAGCAGGUUUUCAUCAAGGUUCUUGCUGUACUUUGCUCUGUUCAUCUCUGCCUCGAUCCUGACUAGUGACCAAGGCCCUUCUCCCAAUUGCUCAGUUUGGCUGGGCGGUCAGCUCUAAGAAGUCUUGGUGGUUCCAAACUUCUUCCAUUUAAGAUUGAUGGAGGCCACUGUGUUCUUGGGACCAUCAAUGGUGCAGAAAUGUUUUGGUAACCUUCCCCAGAUCUGUGCCUGGACAAUUCCAUCAAGCUCAUGGUUUGGUUUAUGCUCUGACAUGCACUGUCAACUAUGGGAUCUUAUAUAGACAGGUGUGUGCCUUUCCAAAUCAUGUCCAAUCAAUUGAACUUACCACAGGUGAAAUCCAAUCAAGUUGUAGAAACAUCAAGGGUGCAAUGGAGCUCAAUUUCAAGUCUCACAGCAAAGGGUCU
RNAcentral lists this long non-coding RNA (3703 nucleotides) under Salmo salar (Atlantic salmon). Its description in RNAcentral is "lncRNA (ENSSSAG00000115385.1)". The record is from RNAcentral. Lineage: Eukaryota; Metazoa; Chordata; Actinopteri; Salmoniformes; Salmonidae.